GUUGUGUUUGUGUCACCAUAAAAAGCUGAUAUUCAUGCAGUCGUGUUUUUUGAUAUUUUUGUUAUUUUGUAAUCGUGUAUCUUUUUAAAGGUCUAAUGGCUCCGUUCAGCUGUUGUGUGCAGACGGUGGAAAAGUUCAACAAGUAAACAUUUAUUUAAUCCAAAUUAAAUACUCAUAUUUCUAUGUAAAAUGUCACAUUAUUUUAUAAAUAAAUAAGUAAGAAACAAAA
Diabrotica virgifera virgifera (western corn rootworm) is the source of this 229-nucleotide long non-coding RNA. RefSeq lists it as uncharacterized. NCBI's taxonomy places the organism in Eukaryota, Metazoa, Arthropoda, Insecta, Coleoptera, Chrysomelidae. The transcript is spliced from 2 exons. The record is from RefSeq and is a predicted model, not a curated record.